Long non-coding RNA from Bubalus bubalis (water buffalo), 1404 nucleotides. RefSeq lists it as uncharacterized. NCBI's taxonomy places the organism in Eukaryota, Metazoa, Chordata, Mammalia, Artiodactyla, Bovidae. The transcript is spliced from 2 exons. The record is from RefSeq and is a predicted model, not a curated record.
UGGCAACCCACUCCAGUACUCGUGCCUGGAAAAUUCCAUGGAUGGAGGAGCCUGGUACAGCCCAUGGGGUCGCAAAGAGUCAGACACGACUGAACAACUUCACUUUCACUUUCCAUUAUUAGAUAAUAAAAGAUACUGCUCGGAUGCCAUUUAAAUUUCUACAGUUUUUGUGUAGACAAGAGUUGAGGUUGGUUCUGCAAGUGACUUGGGAAAGGACUGGUAUAGUUUGAAAGCGCCAUUCCCGGAGCAGGAAGCAACCUACCCAGGAUACUCUGGCAUCUUAACCACAUCUAGUCUCAAUCGUAGUGACUAAUAUUCUGGAGCAUUGAUAGCUUCUGAGAUGCUUCCGUCUACUCCUUAAAAUGAUCCUUUGAAAGGGGGCGUUCUCCCUGUUUCCUGUGGGAGAGAACAGAGUGAAGCUCAGCUGCUGGCCGGGGAAGGUUUCUGAUGGACCUGCAUUGCACACGGGGGCAGCACUGCAGGGGAUUGUGGCAGCUGAGGUCAGGGGGCAAGAGCAGCCACCUUAGGGGGAGCAGGCUGGCAUCCAGGCUCCUGCGGCCGCUGCUCCGAGCUGGCUAUCCACGCGCUGUGUUCUGCGAGGACUGCGGUCAUCUGUGUGUCUGAGCCCCAGCUCGGCCCCGACUCCUCCACAACAAGCAGUUCCUUGUGGAGUGAUUGGAUAGAUGGUGGAUUUCCGAGUUACUUUGUUACCAAAAGUUAGUGUGUGCAAUUUUUGAAAUAUGAAGCAUUUUGCCAGGUACUCCGUAUUUCCUCCGUAUUUCCAGCACUUGUCCCUAGAUGCCUGGCUCCCACUCUAUUUACGUUGCAUCCUCCAGCAGCUGGGCCUCAGCAGGGCAGGCGGGGGGCAUCAUAUUUACUGUUACAGCCUGUUUGUCAAGCAACAGCGCCUGGUGCUUCAUAGGGGUCCAUGCAUAUUUAUUGAUUGAUGAUCAUUUACAGAGCUUCAUCAGAAAGAGAGUCUUCAUCAACACAUAUUUGAAGGCUUAAGAAGAAGGUAAAUGCAAUAACCCGUGUGAAACACAGAACUGUGCCGGACGCCUAGCUGACAAAGGGGACUGUUAGCCAUCGGCAUCUGCAGGCCGCUUACUUGCUAGAGACAGAAACAGGCCAGUCUCUGCCCUCAGGGAGCGUCUCAUCUAAAGAGACGACGAUGAUCCAUUUUUUUUAAGUUGAGGCUCUGCGGCACCCCUGCCUUAAGCGCGCCUGCUAUUGCCAUUUUUCCAGCAGCGUUUGGUCACUUCAUGUUCUGCGUCACUCUUGGGUAAUUCUCUCAAUAUUUCAGACUUUUUCCUGAUGCGUUACAGUGAUUUGUGAUCAGUGAUCUUUGUUGUUACUGUUGUAAUUGUUCUGGCAUUUUUUAGCAAUAAAAUAUUUUUAAAUUAA